This 262-nucleotide ribosomal RNA is filed under the name uncultured bacterium. Its description in RNAcentral is "partial 16S ribosomal RNA". It matches the Rfam family "Bacterial small subunit ribosomal RNA", at positions 793 to 1055 of the family's 1533-position model. The record is from RNAcentral.
GUCCACGCCGUAAACGAUGAGCGCUAGGUGUUGGGGGUAUUGACCCCCCCAGUACCGCAGCUAACGCGUUAAGCGCUCCGCCUGGGGAGUAUGGCCGCAAGGCUAAAACUCAAAGGAAUUGACGGGGCCCGCACAAGCGGUGGAGUAUGUGGUUUAAUUCGACGCAACGCGCAAAACCUUACCUGGGUUAAAUCCACUGGAACCUUCUAGAGAUAGAGGGGUGCCUUCGGGAGCCAGUGAGACGGUGCUGCAUGGCUGUCGU